This 432-nucleotide ribosomal RNA is filed under the name uncultured bacterium. Its description in RNAcentral is "partial 16S ribosomal RNA". It matches the Rfam family "Bacterial small subunit ribosomal RNA", at positions 29 to 507 of the family's 1533-position model. The record is from RNAcentral.
AGCGAACGCUGGCGGCAGGCCUAACACAUGCAAGUCGAACGAACUCUUCGGAGUUAGUGGCGGACGGGUGAGUAACACGUGGGAACGUGCCUUUUGGUUCGGAAUAACUCAGGGAACUUGUGCUAAUACCGAAUGUGCCCUUCGGGGGAAAGAUUUAUCGCCAUUAGAGCGGCCCGCGUCUGAUUAGCUAGUUGGUGAGGUAACGGCUCACCAAGGCGACGAUCAGUAGCUGGUCUGAGAGGAUGACCAGCCACACUGGGACUGAGACACGGCCCAGACUCCUACGGGAGGCAGCAGUGGGGAAUCUUGCGCAAUGGGCGAAAGCCUGACGCAGCCAUGCCGCGUGAAUGAUGAAGGUCUUAGGAUUGUAAAAUUCUUUCACCGGGGACGAUAAUGACGGUACCCGGAGAAGAAGCCCCGGCUAACUUCGUG